GAGUAAAAGAUUACAAAAGAUACAAAAGCAGACAAUUUUUAUUUCCUACAGAACAGAACAAUAUCAUAUAGCCAACUCCAUCCCUAACAAUGGUCUUUGCUGUUGGCAUUUGCUUAACCAGUCUUUAGUUCCUGUUUGGCAAACUUUAUAAGGUGCUACACGGCAGAUGAUUUUUCACCAUCUACCAUAAUGUGGAUGAACAAACAAUUUGUAUUUUAUCUUCUGCUUUUGUCAGCUUUUAUGAGCAAGACGAUAUAUGGACAAAGAAAGAAAGGAUCAAAGUCCAAUUUACUUGCAAGAAGAAAUCAUCUCCAGGAUUCCACUUGCUUCAUAGAUCUUAUUUUCAUCGUGGACAGCUCUGAAAGUUCUAAAAUUUUUCUCUUUGACAAACAGAAAGAUUUUGUGGAUAGCUUGAGUGAUAAGCUUUUCCAAUUGACCCCAGUUGGCUCCUUGAAAUAUGACAUCAAACUGGCAGCCCUUCAGUUUAGCAGCUCUGUCCAAAUUGAUCCACCUUUCUCCUCGUGGAAGGAUCUACACACUUUUAAACAGAGGGUGAAGUCUAUGAAUUUCAUUGGGCAAGGUACUUUCUCUUACUAUGCCAUUGCCAAUGCCACGAGGCUCCUUAAGAGAGAAGGGCGUAAAGACAGUGUGAAAGUGGCUUUGCUGAUGACUGAUGGCAUUGACCAUCCGAAGAAUCCAGAUGUUCAGAGUAUUUCUGAAGAUGCCCGAAAUGCAGGAAUAAUAUUUAUCACCAUUGGACUUUCUACUGUGGUCAAUGAAACCAAGCUUCAUUUGAUAUCUGGGAAUUCACCUGGUGAACCUAUUCUACUGUUGAAUGAUUCAACCCUGGUAGAUAAAAUUCAGAAUCGCCUGGAUACCUUAUUUGAAAAGAAGUGUGAACGCAAGAUUUGUGAAUGUGAGAAGGGGGAUCCAGGCGAUCCAGGGCCUCCUGGUACACAUGGAAACCCAGGUAUCAAAGGUGAGCGAGGACCAAAAGGAAACCCGGGUGAUGCUCAAAAAGGGGAACCUGGAGAAAGAGGCCCAGGGGGAAUCCCUGGGUACAAGGGUGAGAAGGGUGAACUCGGAGAAUGUGGCAAACCAGGAGUUAAAGGUGACAAAGGAUCUCCAGGGCCAUAUGGACCAAAGGGUCCCAGAGGACUUCAGGGCGUUACUGGACCUCCAGGGGAUCCAGGCCCAAGGGGGUUUCAAGGCAACAAGGGGGAGCCUGGUCCUCCUGGUCCUUAUGGUCCUCCAGGAGCCCCUGGUAUUGGUCAGCAAGGUAUUAAGGGGGAAAGAGGCCAGGAAGGAAGAACAGGGGCUCCAGGACCGAUUGGUGUUGGUGAGCCAGGCCAGACAGGUCCCCGUGGUCCUGAGGGAGCACCAGGAGAGAGGGGCUUACCAGGAGAAGGAUUUCCAGGGCCAAAGGGUGAAAAAGGUUCUGAAGGACCAGUUGGCCCACAAGGAUUACAAGGCCCAUCAAUCAAAGGGGACAAGGGGGAUCUGGGACCUGUAGGACCCCAAGGACCAAUGGGCAUCCCUGGAAUUGGCAGUCAAGGGGAACAGGGAAUCCAAGGUCCUAUUGGUCCACCUGGUCCACAAGGGCCCCCAGGACAAGGCUUACCUGGUCCCAAGGGAGAAGUAGGCCAGAUAGGACCUACAGGUCCUAGAGGACCAGUGGGAGUUGGAGUACAAGGUCCAAAGGGGGAGCCAGGCUCAACAGGACUCCCAGGACAGCCAGGAGUACCAGGAGAAGAUGGAGCAGCAGGCAAGAAGGGAGAAGCAGGGCUUCCAGGAGCAAGAGGCCCUGAAGGACCACCUGGAAAAGGACAACCUGGUCUCAAGGGGGAUGAAGGAAAGAAAGGGAGCAAAGGAAAUCAAGGACAGAGGGGAUUUCCUGGGCCAGAAGGACCGAAGGGUGAUCCAGGAAUUAUGGGCCCUUUUGGAAUGCCUGGAGCAUCAAUUCCUGGACCACCUGGGCCAAAGGGAGAUAGAGGAGGACCUGGGAUGCCUGGAUUGAAAGGAGAACCUGGAAUUGCUAUCCGAGGACCAAAGGGUGCCCAAGGCCCUCAGGGACCAGUGGGUGCUCCAGGACUCAAAGGCGACGGCUAUCCUGGUGUGGCUGUAAGUGUGGACCUUGCUUUAUUACCACCCCCCUUCUUUUCCUCUUUUCCUUCUUCCUUCCUCCCCUUCCCUUCCUUUCAUCCCUUCCUCCCUUUCUCUCUCCCUUCCUCCCUUCUUUUAUCUUUUUCUCUCUUCCUCUCUUUCUUUUCUUUCUUCUCCCUCCCUUCCUUCCUUUCUCUCUCUCCUUUCCUUCCUUUUCUUUUCUCUCUCUCUUUUUCUUCCUGCACGCAAGAUUUCUCCAAGGUUGAUCUCUUUCCCUUACUGCCAUCUCAGGGCCCACGAGGAUUACCAGGACCUCCUGGACCAAUGGGUUUACGUGGAGUUGGAGACACUGGAGCCAAGGGAGAGCCUGGUGUCAGAGGCCUUCCAGGCCCUUCUGGGCCUCGGGGUAUAGGAAUUCAAGGGCCAAAGGGUGAUACUGGGCAGAAAGGCUUGCCUGGCCCUCCUGGCCCCCCUGGCUAUGGAUUACAAGGAAUCAAAGGGGAGCAAGGACCUCGAGGCUUUCCAGGGUCAAAGGGCAUGACAGGCCUUGGCCUCCCUGGCCAGAAGGGAGAGCAUGGAGAACGGGGCGAUGUGGGAAAGAAAGGUGAUAAAGGGGAAAUUGGAGAUCCCGGAUCUCAAGGAAAACAGGGGUUGCAAGGACCAAAAGGAGACCAAGGGCUUACAAAAGAAGAAAUCAUCAAACUUAUUUUUGAAAUAUGUGGUUGUGGGCGUAAAUGCAAAGAGACUCCGCUAGAGCUACUCUUUGUGAUUGACAGCUCAGAAAGCGUGGGGCUGGAGAAUUUCCAGAUCAUCAAAAACUUCGUGAAGACUCUGACAGACGGGGUUGCUCUGGACCUUGCCACGGCCCGCAUAGGCAUCAUCAACUACAGCCAUAAGGUGGAGGAGGUGGCUCAUCUGACACAGUUCUCCAGCAAGGACGCCCUCAAGCGGGCGGUGGACAACAUGCAGUAUCUGGGGGAAGGCACCUACACGGCCACAGCUCUCCACGCCGCCAACCGCAUGUUUGAAGCCUCCAGGCCGGAGGUGAAGAAGGUGGCCUUGGUCAUCACAGAUGGGCAGACAGAUACCCGGGAUGAAAAGAAUCUGACAGAUGUGGUGAAGAACGCCAGUGAUAUCAAUGUGGAAAUAUUUGUGAUUGGCGUGGUGAAGAAAAAUGACCCCAACUUCGAGAUGUUCCACAAAGAAAUGAAUCUAAUUGCUACCGACCCAGAUAGUGAGCACGUUUAUCAGUUUGAUGACUUCAUUACUCUUCAAGAUACCCUGAAGCAAAAAUUAUUUAAAAAAAGUUGUGAGGAUUUUGAAUCCUACCUCUUCCAAGUUUUGGGUUCACCACUGCUUGAACCUAGAUUUGGGCUAUCAGGGGAAGAACUCAGUGAAUCCACUCCAGAGCCCCGGAAAGAAAUUUCUGAGUAUGUAAGUAACUCUCUUGCUUAA
RNAcentral lists this long non-coding RNA (3558 nucleotides) under Sus scrofa (pig). Its description in RNAcentral is "lncRNA (ENSSSCG00065030566.1)". Lineage: Eukaryota; Metazoa; Chordata; Mammalia; Artiodactyla; Suidae. The record is from RNAcentral.